GUUACUUUGGCAGAAUAGUGCAAUAAAUUUAGAAUUUAUUUAAAUAUAUAAAUAUAUAGGUAAUA
RNAcentral lists this transfer RNA (65 nucleotides) under Hydrochus sp. BMNH 840193. RNAcentral's name for it is "tRNA-Leu". The record is from RNAcentral. Lineage: Eukaryota; Metazoa; Arthropoda; Insecta; Coleoptera; Hydrochidae.